Molecule: ribosomal RNA, 735 nt
Filed under: Borreliella burgdorferi (Lyme disease spirochete)
Lineage: Bacteria; Pseudomonadati; Spirochaetota; Spirochaetia; Spirochaetales; Borreliaceae
Description: partial 16S ribosomal RNA
Source: RNAcentral
UUUGCUCCCUACGCUUUCGUGACUCAGCGUCAGUCUUGACCCAGAAGUUCGCCUUCGCCUCCGGUAUUCUUUCUGAUAUCAACAGAUUCCACCCUUACACCAGAAAUUCUAACUUCCUCUAUCAGACUCUAGACAUAUAGUUUCCAACAUAGGUCCACAGUUGAGCUGUGGUAUUUUAUGCAUAGACUUAUAUAUCCGCCUACUCACCCUUUACGCCCAAUAAUCCCGAACAACGCUCGCCCCUUACGUAUUACCGCGGCUGCUGGCACGUAAUUAGCCGGGGCUUAUUCAUAAAUUAACGUCAUCACUUUGUCAUUUCCUACAAAGCUUAUUCCUCAUUUAUAAAAGAAUUUUACAAUCUUUCGACCUUCUUCAUUCACGCAGUGUCGCUCCGUCAGGCUUUCGCCCAUUGCGGAAGAUUCUUAGCUGCUGCCUCCCGUAGGAGUCUGGACCGUAUCUCAGUUCCAGUGUGACCGUUCACCCUCUCAGGCCGGUUACUUAUCAUUGCCUUGGUAGGCAUUUACCCUACCAACUAGCUAAUAAGACGCAGACUCAUCUACAAGCGAAGCUUUAAAGGCUUCCUUUCAUCAAUUAACAAAUUAACUGACCUUAUUCGGUAUUAGCUACUAUUUCUAAUAGUUAUCCCCAUCUCAUAGGUAGAUCAUCCACGCGUUACUCACCCGUUCGCCACUGAAUGUAUUGCUACAUCCCGUUUGACUUGCAUGCUUAAGACGC